UACGGAGGGGGCAAGCGUUGUUCGGAAUCAUUGGGCGUAAAGAGUAUGUAGGCGGCUAUUUAAGUCAGACGUGUAAGCCCACGGCUCAACCGUGGAAUUGCGUUUGAAACUAUUUAGCUUGAGUACAGGAGAGGAAGGCGGAAUUCCCAGUGUAGCGGUGAAAUGCAUUGAUAUUGGGAAGAACACCGGUGGCGAAGGCGGUCUACCAGAACACGUCCGACGGUGAGGGAUGAAAGCUGGGGGAGCAAACCGG
Molecule: ribosomal RNA, 253 nt
Filed under: uncultured bacterium
Lineage: Bacteria
Description: partial 16S ribosomal RNA
Rfam family: Bacterial small subunit ribosomal RNA
Source: RNAcentral